Salvia splendens (bonfire salvia) is the source of this 4949-nucleotide long non-coding RNA. RefSeq lists it as uncharacterized. NCBI's taxonomy places the organism in Eukaryota, Viridiplantae, Streptophyta, Magnoliopsida, Lamiales, Lamiaceae. The record is from RefSeq and is a predicted model, not a curated record. The transcript is spliced from 22 exons.
GCAGCCUUUCAUGUCUAAAAAAAGCCAAGGCUAGAAAAAAAAUAAAAAUAAAAAGGCAGCCUUUCUUGAUUAAAAAAAAGCCAAGGCUCGAAAAAAAAUAUUGAGCGAAAAAUAGAAAUGAUUCAAAAGAAUAAGUUGACAGAUGGUCGAAAAAUCUUAUGUUUGGGGUGUUGAGCUGUAAGAAAUUUGUAUGCAGUGAGUGAGAUGUGAAAGGUUUUGUGAUGGAUGUGCUAGUAUUUUAAGAAUGGUGGUAAGCUACUUAACCAAAUAUUAUCUCACCUCUACCAAAAGCCCCAUUACAUCCCAAUGAAUAAGACCUUUUGAUUUGUGCAUCAUAUUGACUUGGGAGUGAUGAAUUUUGCUUGAUUUUGGGAGAAAGAUCUUAUGUGCUUAAAAUAAAGAAUAGCUAGAAGAACUUCUCUUUAUGAAUUAGUGACGAUGGUUUGAGACUCCCAAGACACAACUCGAACUUAGAUUGAAGCAUGGGAUGCCUAGUUCUUAGGGAAUUAGUUCGUGUACAAUUCUUGUUCUUAAGUUUUACCCGCGAGUGAAUUCGGGGUCGGCCUAAUUUCCCUACUGAUUCAUAUGGUUUGGCGUGACUUGAAGCAGAGGAUUAUCCAAUAUCUUUAUACAAUGGAAUGGAGGGUAGCGUAUUACUGCUCCUAGCCAAUUUUGGCCACUUUGAUAUUAAGUGUCUCUCAGUUCAUACUAAAGCCGUCAAUGAAGAACUACUGCAAAAUCUGUCUGAUGCUCUACGCUUGACUGUACCUGAUAAAAUUGGAGUUGAUCUUGCUUUGUCUAAAACUGACGAUCACGAUAUCAGGAUGUGUGGAAAGAAUUUUUCUUUGAGUCAGAUUAAAGAGCUGUGUGCCUAUCUAUUGCAUUUGAGGCGACUGAGAUGAUUCAAAAUAUGCUCGUGUUACACUUAGUUGAUCUAACGGCUAAGCAUUCAGAUUCAUUCUUGCAAAUGUUAGCUCUUGUGCAACUAAGGUGCUUUCCGUGAUAGUUCCUCGUGCAAAAAUAGACUAGAAUUUCUUAGUCAAUCUGAAGGCCAAGGCCCAACUACGUGGAGAUCACUUCUUCAGUUUAAAACGCGCCGCGCAGGUGGAAGAGCAAGAUCUGGGGACGGCGGCCCGGUGGGGGCAAGUCGUAUGGCGGUAGGGGGAGACUUAGUUCUUAACUUAUAAGAAGCCGGGGGAAAUGGCUCUUUCCCAAGUACUUCCUAGAUAUGUUUCUUUUUUACUUUGGCAUUCGGUUUGCUGUACCUGCAUUAAAAAAGAAAUCAUGGGCCUUGGAAGCUGGAUGAGCACUCAAUUAGUGUCUAGUAAAGAUGCUUUGUAUGAGGAAUAGAUCAUGUUUCUGAAGGAUGUUCAGGACCUAUCUCCUAGUCACAUUCAAUCUUUGGGUUCACUUUUGAAUAUCUUUCUGGUUGUGUGUAAGGCUGCGUAGCAAGUAGAACUCAGUCCCGUGUUGAGAGCACUACUUCAGUGUUGAUAAGUUCUAGAGAUGUCCCCUGUUCUUCUUCAGUGAGGUUUUCGCUUCCUGUAUAGGGGUGUGAUCCUGGCACCACCCCUUACUUGCUUUCGACCCUAACAAGAAUCACUAACAGAGUUGACAUCGAUGAAUGGAAUCCAUCCACUGAUACACAUCUUCCUUGAUUGAUAACCGCUCUGCAAAUGUUGUGAUGCACUCAAAAUUUUAAAUAUCAUUUCCAGCUUUUUUGUUUGUCUACGACAGUUAGAUCAUCUAUCGAGGGACCGAAUUUGCUUUAGAUUGCAAACUUGAGUUUGCUCAUACUGCUCAUCGAAAUUCUGCUGCUGUUCAUUCCUGGUUGAGUGUAAGGCUGCGUAGCAAGUAGAAGUCAGUCCCGUGUUGAGAGCGCUACUUCAGUGUUGAUAAGUUCUAGAGUAUCCCCUGAGCUUCAACAGUGAGGUGUUAUAGCUGUAACCAUUACUCGUAGGAUUUUUAUGCUAGAGCACUUUGAGCACAAACUUUUGCAGGAACUAACCCGGAGUUGCCCUGGUUCUCACUUCCGGUAUAGGGGUGUGAUCCUGACACCACCCCUUAAUUGCUUUCUACUCAAACAAGUAAGUAUUCUAUCCUCUUUACAUUUUUUGUCCUUCACAUUGAGGGUAAUGUUUAGAAUAGUUUUGAGGUGUGGGUGUCUGCGUGCAUUCUUCUUUUUGGGGUUGUAAUUUAUCCUAUUUGUGUGUAUAUGUAAGGUUUUCUCUCUAUUAAUUGUCACCCGAAACACUUUUUAAUGGUUUAUUAGUGUAGACUUAGUUCUCUCAAGGGUUGGAGAACUAAGAUUCCCUAAUUUAAAACACCUUACUUACUUAUAUUUUAAUAUGUGAAAAUGAAUUUGUGCUGCUGAACAGGACAUGCUGCUGAACAAGACCAAGUACAUAUAUUUUCUAUGGUCGCUUGAAAUUUUCUCUGUGGUGAACGUGGAGUCUGUUGAUGUUUUUUUCCGUUGAAUGGGAUUUACUUUUUAAAUCAAUAAUACUAGCAAAUAACUGAUAUAAAAACAUUGGUAAAGGCUUGUGUUAAUUUAGUCCAUUGAGCAUGGGUUUGGAAUUCAUAUUGUUUGUAUUUUGUCCUUGUUGCCUUUUUUAACCUUGUUUACAUGCAGUCCAAACCAGUGAUGGGGAAUAGAUCAACAACUUUCUAUUAGGAGAUAGCAUAGAGACAGUGUUGUGCCACUUUUUUUAUGCUAGCAUUUAUGUGCAAGGUCAAGUGAGCCUUUUGUCCUAAGCUAGGCCACCUGUCACAUUCACAAAAUGAGUUUAUGAGGUGAUUCCGGACAAAUUCUAGGACAUCUAAGUUGAUUCAGGAAAGAAUCGAUCCAUCCAGAGCUCAAAUGCAUUUCCAGUUUGCCCCUCUGCUUCGUCAGUGGGUGGAUUUUCCUGGAAAUUUGCAUCUCUACUUCUGACCAAAUGAGUGUUAGCACUGGAAUUGGUGCUAUUCCCCACACACCUGAAAUUGGCUCUGACGAGAUGGAUCCUGUUGGAUCCCAGAUUCGUACAAGGAUAAUAUUUCCGAUGAUGACUAUAUAAUUUCAAAAGCUGGGCUCGGUCUAGAAGUGGGAAUGAUGUCAAUCCUACAUGGAGUUAAGGAGGAGCUAACUUCUAAAGGAGGCAAGAUGAGGGAAGAAAUACCUAACUUCCCAUGCAAACAAGAGAGUAUUUUGUUUCCCCUCACAUUUUUUUCCUUCACAUAAAGGGCAAUGUUAAGAUUAAGAUUUGGGGUGAGGGUGUUUGUGUACAUGCUUGAUUAUGUGGUUGUAAAUAAUUUUAUUACUCUAUCUCCGAUGUGUUGAUUCUGAAGGACCCUUUUUCUGAAGUGUAUAUAACGAUGCGAAUACUAAAGAAGUUAUGUGUUUUAAAUAGCAGGACUAUGCCAUGGAGCCCGAUGAGAAACUUAUGCGAAAUGCAGCACAUUAGAUGGUAGCAAGGUUGGCAGGAACUCUUGCUAAUGUAACUUGUUAGUAUCAAGCCAACUCAGAAGGUCACUUCAGGGCUUGGCCAUAGCAAAGGAUCUUCUGGAGCAAUCAUUUUAGCGGGUGACUAAUGGAAUCACAUGCAGCGAUGAUACCGAUGAAUGGAAUCCAUCCACUGAUACACAUCUUCCUCGAUCGAUAGCCGCUCUGGAAAUGUUGAGUGCAAGGCUGCGCUGCAAGCAGAACUCGGUCCGUUGUUAAGAGCGCUAUUUCAGUAUUGAUCAUGUUCCAGAGAUGUCCCCUGAUCUUCAACAAUGAGUUGUUAUAGUUGUAACCACUAAACGUUCUCGCUUCUGUUAUAGGGGUGUGAUCCUGGCGCCAUCCCUUACUUGCUUUCUUACUCAAACAAUCCAACCCAUUUAUGGGGAAAUAGAUCGAUUACUUUCUACUAGAAGAAAGCAUAGAGACAGUGUUGUGCCACUUUUUUUAAUGCUAGCCUUUAUGCUCGAGGUCAAACGGAAGCCCUUUAUCCAAAGCCAAGGCACAUGUCACAUUCACAACGAGUUUAUGAGAAUCGAUCCACCCAGAGCUCCUAAUGCAUUUCCAGUUCGCCCCUCGGCUUCAUCAGGAGCUGGAUUAUCCAGGCAAUUUGCAUCACCACUUCUGACCAAAUGAGUGCUAGCAUUUACUCAUCUGGCCUUGUUAGCACUUGAAUUGGUGCUAUGCCCCAUACACCGGAAAUCGGCUCUAACGAGAUAGAACCUGUUGGAUCCCAAAAACUAAAAGGAAUCAAAUUAGUAAAAUUCCGGUGAUCAUUUUUCAGUUCGCUCAUCUCAUAUUUCAAUUGGCGAUGGUCCACAAACUCUUGAGUUUGGGAGGGGCUAAUUUAUAAAGGAAUCAAGAUGAGAGAAGAAAUACCUAACCCCAUCACCUAACUUCCCAUGCAAACAAGGGAGUAUUUUGUUUACCAUGCAAAUAAUUAGAUUACUCUAUCUCGUUGAUUCUGAAGGACCCUUUUUUCCAUAGUAUAUAUAACAAUGCAAAUGCUAAAGAAGUUAUAUGUUUUUAAAUGGCAGGUCUAUGCCACGGAGCCUGUUGAGAAACUUAUACGAAAUGCAACACAUUUGUAGUAGCAAGGUUGAAAGGAAGUCAUGCUAAUGUAACUUGAAGGUUGAGUGUAAGGCUGCGUAACAAGCAGAACUCGGCCCCGUGAUGUGAGCUUUACUUCAGUGUUGAUCAAGUUCUUGAGAUGUCCCCUUUCAACAGUGAGGUACUUACCCUGGAGUUGCCCUGGUUCUCGGUUCCGGUAUAGGGGUGUGAUCCUAGCACCACUGCUUAUUUGCUUUCUACGCAAAAAAAUAAGAGUUAUUGAGGAGCCAACUUUUUAGGAGACACGAUGAGAAAAGGAAUAGCUUAACCCCCACCACCUAAUUUCCUAUGCAGACAAUGGAGUAUUCUGUCUCGCCUCACAUUUUAUUGUUCAUCACAUAAAGGGAAAUGUUUAGAUUCA